RNAcentral lists this ribosomal RNA (489 nucleotides) under uncultured bacterium. RNAcentral describes it as "bacterial SSU rRNA". It matches the Rfam family "Bacterial small subunit ribosomal RNA", at positions 21 to 507 of the family's 1533-position model. The record is from RNAcentral.
GGCUCAGAUUGAACGCUGGCGGCAUGCCUUACACAUGCAAGUCGAACGGCAGCACGGGGCAACCUGGUGGCGAGUGGUGAACGGGUGGGUAAUGCAUCGGAACGUGCCAUUGAGUGGGGGAUAACGUAGCGAAAGUUGCGCUAAUACCGCAUAUUCUGUGAGCAGGAAAGCAGGGGACCGCAAGGCCUUGCGCUCUUUGAGCGGCCGAUGUCAGAUUAGCUAGUUGGUGAGGUAACGGCUUGCCAAGGCGACGAUCUGUAGCGGGUCUGAGAGGAUGAUCCGCCACACUGGAACUGAGACACGGUCCAGACUCCUACGGGAGGCAGCAGUGGGGAAUUUUGGACAAUGGGCGCAAGCCUGAUCCAGCCAUGCCGCGUGAGUGAAGAAGGCCUUCGGGUUGUAAAGCUCUUUCGGUCGGGAAGAAAUCGCAUGGGUUAAUACCCUGUGUGGAUGACGGUACCGGAAUAAGAAGCACCGGCUAACUACGUG